UGGGGGNACCCUGACGCAGCAACNCCGCGUGAGGGAAGGAGGCCUUCGGGNCGUNAAGCUCCGUCGAGUGGGAAGAACUUAUUUUGUGCUAAUAUCACGAAGUAAUGACGGUACCACCAAAGGAAGCNCCGGCUAACUCCGUGCCAGCNGCCGCGGUAAUACGGAGGGUGCAAGCGUUAUUCGAGAAUUACUGGGCGUANAGGGCGCGUAGGCGGCUUUUUAAGUCAGGCGUGAAAUACCGGGGCUAAACUCCGGAAGUGCGUUUGAAACUAGAAAGCUUNCAGUACGGGNAGAGGGAAGUGGAAUUCCUGGUGUAGAGGUGAAAUUCGUGAGAUAUCAGGAGGAACACCGGUGGCGAAAGCGACUUCCUGGACCGAUACUGACGCUGAGGAUUCGAAAGCCUGGGUANCAAACAGGAUUANAGNCCCUGGUNGUCCNCGCCGNAAACCGUUGANCANUNGUGUGUAGCGGGNAUUGACUCCUGCUGGCGCCUNAGCUAACGCGUUUAGNGGUCCGUCCUGGGGAAUACNGGUCNNAAGGGUUUAUACUC
RNAcentral lists this ribosomal RNA (550 nucleotides) under uncultured bacterium. RNAcentral describes it as "partial 16S ribosomal RNA". It matches the Rfam family "Bacterial small subunit ribosomal RNA", at positions 372 to 902 of the family's 1533-position model. The record is from RNAcentral.